CUAACAAUCAUACCCACACUCCAAACGUCAGGUACAUGAAUUGGAACCCUAAACCUAAACCUACUCCUAACCCUAACCCUAACCCUAAGCCGCAGGACCAAAUCACAAUACCCAGGUUCUUGACAUUCGACAUUAUCCCUCACCCUCCCCAUGAACUUACGCUAAUACUAACUUUUCCAACCCACACUUGAAGACCCAAGCAUUUCAAUUUCAAUGCUAUCUAUCACCCUAACCCUAACCCUAACCCUAACCCUAACCCUAACCCUAAGUCAUUUUCAUGUACCUUUACUUCAGCACUAUCCAUGACAUUUACGAAAAGAAGAACCCUAUCCCUAAAAAUCAUACCCACACUCCAAACGUCAGGUGCGUGAAUUGGAAUCCUAAACCUAAACCUACUCCUAACCCUAACCCUAAGCAACAGGACCAAAUUCCUAUACCCAGGAACUUGAAAUUCUACAUUAUCCCUAACCCUCACCAUAAAUUUACACUAAAACUAAUUUUCUAACCCACACUUGAAGACACAGGCAUUUCAAUUUCCAUGCUAUUUAUCACCUAAACCCUAACCCAAACCCUUACCCUCCCCUAACCCUAUGUCAUUUUCAUGUACCUCUAUUUCAGAACUAUCCAUGACACUUACAAAAAGAAGAACCCUAACCCGAAAAAUCAUCUACACACUCCAAACGUCAGGUGCAUGAAUUGGAAUCCUAAAUCUAAUCCUAAUCCUUUCCCUAACCCUAAGCAGCAGGACCAAAUUCCAAUUCACAGGUACUUGAAAUUCUACAUUAUCCCUCACCCUCCCCAUGUACUUACGCUAAUACUAUCUUUCCAACCCACACUUGAAGACACAAGAAUUUCAAUAUCAAUGCUAUCUAUCACCCUUAACCGACCCCUAACCCUAACACUACCAUAAGCCUAAACCAUUUUCACGUAGCUCUAUUUCAGCACUAUCCAUGACAAUUACGAAAAUAAGAACCGUAACCCUAAAAAUCUUACCCACACUCCAAACGUCAGGUACAUUUAUUGGAAUCCUAAAGCUAAACCUAAUCCUAUCCCUAACCCUAACCCUAAGCAACAGGACCAAAUUCCAAUAAACAGGUACUUGAAAUUCUACAGUAUCCCUAACCCUCAUCAUGAAUUACACUAAUACUAACUUUCCAUCCCACACUUGAAGACACAGGCAUUUCAAUUUCAAUGCUAUCUAUCACCCUAACCCUAACCCUAAGCCUAACACUUACCCUUCCCUAACCCUAAGUCAUUUUCAGGUACCUCAAUUUCAGCCCUAUCCAUGACACUUACUAAAAGAAGAACCCUAACCCCCAAAAUCAUACCCACACUCCAAACAUCAGGUACAUGAAAUGGAACCCUAAACCCAAAACUAAUCCUAUCCCUAACCCUAAGCACCAGGAACAAAUUCCAAUACCCAGGUACUUGAAAUUCUACAUUAUCCUUAACCCUCACCAUGAACUUACCCUAAUCCGAAUGCGUUCCAUUCACCUUACCACAUCUCGUACCAUGGGGGAAUAUUUUGAGAUGGCACAAUUCUGCUCUCAAAGUGGAAGCGUCAUCCUGGCCAAUGAACCACCACUCCAAGCUAACGGGUUGUUUCCAAAAUUGCUCAGGACCUGUCACAGGAAUAAUGAGUUGGUUUUCAAUCUGUGAUACCACAUCUCCUGCCACAGAGGAGGUUUCUGUCCUGGCACUACACUGCUCCUGUAAUGGAGUUGCCUUCCAGUUUGACAUAAGCCCGAUCUGAGCUAACGGGAUGCUUCUAAAUUGACUCAGAACCUCUCAAAGUAAAAAAGAGAGUGUGUUCUAUCUAACUUACCACAUCUCCUGCAAGGGGGAAUAUUUUGGGAUGGCACCAUGUCACUACCUUAUUGGAGGCUGUUUCUGGGCCACAUUACGGACACUCCCAUUUAAUGGGAUGCUUCUGAAAUGGCUCGGAACCUCUCACAGUAAAAAAGAGAUUUCGUUCGAUCUACCUUAACACGUCUCCUGCCACAGGGGAGGAUUCUGGCAAGGCAUCACUCCACGCCCAUAGUGGAGCCGACUUCAGGCCACCUUACAGCCACUCCCAGCUAAUUGGAUGCUUCCAAAAUGGUUCAGAACCACACACAGUAAAAAAGAGAAUGUGUUCCAUCCAUCUUACCACAUCUCCUGCUACAGGGGAGUAUUUUGGAAUGGCACAAUGAUGCUCUCCAAGUGGAGGCAUCUUCCCAGCCACCGUUCUGCCACUCCCAGCUAAUGGGUUGCUUCUCACAUGGCUCAGAACUGCUCACAGGAAAAAGACAAUGCGUUCAAUCUGCCUUACCACAUUUCCUGUAAUGGGGGAGGAUUCUGGCAUGGCACCAUGCCACUCCCAAAUUGAAGGCAGACACCUGGCCACAGUACCGAUGAUCACAGCUAACAGGAUGCUUCUCAAAUGGCUCAGAACAGCUCACAGGAAAAAAGAGAAUGUGUUCCAUCCACCUUACCACAUCUCCUGCCACGGGGGAAUAUUUUGGGAUGGCAAAAUGGCACUACUGCAGUGGAGGCAUCUUCCUGGCCAACAUACUGCCACUCCCAGCUAAUGGGUUGCUUCCAAAAUGGCUCAGAACCACUCACAGGAAAAAACAGAAUGUGUUCGAUCUAUGUUACCAAAUUUCUUGCAAUGGGGGAGGAUUCUGACAUGGCACCAUGCUGCUCCCAGAGUGGAGGCAGACUCCAGGCCACCCUACUGAUGAUCACAGCUUAUGGGAUGCUUCUGAAAGGGCUCAGAAACACUCAUAGGAAAAAAGAGAAAGCUUUUGACCUGCCAUACCACAUCUCCUGCUAUGGCGGAGUAUUCUGGCCUGGCAAUACCCUGUUCCAGUAGUCAAGGCAGCUUCCUGGCCACCGUAUGUCUGAUGCCAGCUAAUGGGAUGCUUCCAUAAUGGCUCAGAACAGCUCACAGUAAAAAGCAGAUUGCAUUCGAUCUACUUUACCACAUCUCCGGCCACAGUGGAGGAUUCUGGCAUGGCACCACUCCACUCCCAAAGUGGAGGUGGCUUCCUGGCCACCGU
Molecule: long non-coding RNA, 3041 nt
Organism: Heterocephalus glaber (naked mole-rat)
Lineage: Eukaryota; Metazoa; Chordata; Mammalia; Rodentia; Bathyergidae
Source: Ensembl